RNAcentral lists this ribosomal RNA (453 nucleotides) under uncultured Porphyromonadaceae bacterium. RNAcentral describes it as "partial 16S ribosomal RNA". It matches the Rfam family "Bacterial small subunit ribosomal RNA", at positions 341 to 792 of the family's 1533-position model. Lineage: Bacteria; Pseudomonadati; Bacteroidota; Bacteroidia; Bacteroidales; Porphyromonadaceae. The record is from RNAcentral.
ACGGAAGGCAGCAGUGAGGAAUAUUGGUCAAUGGACGGAAGUCUGAACCAGCCAAGUCGCGUGAAGGAAGAAGGUUCUAUGGAUUGUAAACUUCUUUUGUCUGAGGGUAAAGUGAGAGAUGCGUCUCUUAUUGCAAGUAUCAGACGAAUAAGCAUCGGCUAACUCCGUGCCAGCAGCCGCGGUAAUACGGAGGAUGCGAGCGUUAUCCGGAUUUAUUGGGUUUAAAGGGUGCGUAGGCGGGAUGUUAAGUCAGCGGUGAAAGCGUGUAGCUCAACUAUACCAAGCCGUUGAAACUGGCGUUCUUGAGUGUAAACGAGGUAGGCGGAAUGUGACGUGUAGCGGUGAAAUGCUUAGAUAUGUCACAGAACCCCGAUUGCGAAGGCAGCUUACCAGCAUACGACUGACGCUGAGGCACGAAAGCGUGGGUAUCAAACAGGAUUAGAUACCCUGGUA